CAGCAACCUUCGGAAAGGGGAGGAACCUUGGGGCUGGGUUACCUGACCGAAAUGAGGGCGGGGCUGACCUGGGAUGGGCGUGGCGUGGCCCCCCGUGCGUAAAGGAGACAGGGUUUGAGGAGCUAUUGUCCAAGUAACUUCAGGGCGCGGGGGUCUUUGGAAAGGAGAAUCCGGGGGUUGGGAAGUCUGACGUCUCAAUUUUCCUAAGAUGGAGGUCUGUUCAGAUUUCAUCAGAGCACCCCUCCUACCUCAGCUCUGUGUUCCCAGGAGACGGUUGCUAGGCGACGGCAAAGUCCUUGAUUGCUGCGUUGCCAGGCAACAGAGAAACGGAAAAUGGAGGGAAAAGGGAAAUGGGGGAUGGGGAAGGGUCUUUAUGGGCCAUGGCGCCCACUGGUGGAUAAGCAGGGCCUGCAGGUUUUCUAUUCUAGAAGGAAAUUUGAGUCCAGCCCCUUCCGCACUGACUCCUUGGAUCCUCUGGUGAUCCAAGCCUUCCUACCAGAUAUGAAACUAGGACAUUGGGGGUCAUCUUGGGGGCGCAUGUAACAGAUGCCGAUCAACGGGGUCAAUCUCGCUUGGGUGAGAUUCUAGGGAAGUCGUCAUUUCUACCAUGUAUGGGCAUUUUAUAGAAGUCAGCCGAUUUGAGGAGACCCCUCACUGGGUUUUAAGAGCUGGAAGGGUGGGCGUUCAAUGGGAGAAUAUUUGGAAGAGAGGCUUUCAGGUUAAGUUGUUUGGGAGAAAAUGGAAAUCUCUGAAGAGACCUGAAGGAGGCGGUUGGGAGUGUUCUGGACGAUUUGUGGGUCAUUGCAGAUUGCCGGCCGUAUCUUUGGUGUGUAUUUUUUGAGGCCUGAGUGUGGAGAAGAUAUAUUUGGGAGCAAUCUUCCGACAAAGUUGGAAUUCAGAAUCGUGGAGGGGAUGUUCUGGGCAGACAGAAAAGGGUGUAAUCUAUGAACCUCAGGGGUAAAGAAAAGGAGAGGAGGUGUGAGCCACCGUGCCAGGCCAAAAUUUUUUUUUUUAGAGAUGGGAUCUCACUAUGUUGCCCAAGCUGGUGUUGGGCACCUGGCCUCCAGCGAUCUUCCCGUCUACAUUUCUUUUUAUAAGAGUUUUGGAAAAAAUUGACGAGAUUGCUAUUUAAUUUGGAGGGUCUGCUUUAAAGUAGAUUAAAUAUUUCCUGAAAUUGGGUUCUGGUGUGGAUUUGGAGACUGGCAUAUUAGGAAGUCAUGAGUAUCUUAUUAGAUUCGGGGGUUUGGACAGGGGAUCCCCAACAAAUUAGAGGACUUGUUAUUUGGAUGUUUAUAUUAGAGCAAGAGUAAUAUUUGCACUAAUUGCAACAUCCCUGUUAGUGGAUUGGGAGAUAGAUGUGAUAUAGAAAGGGAUGAUUUAGCAUAUAUUAAUUUGGGGGGCCAACAAGGCUCUGUGGUUCCUUAAACUCUUGAAGAAACAUGGGCUGCCUAUCAGGUGGGGCUGGACUGCAGGGGAGAACUAUGCUGGUUAGAGUAGGAGAUGCCUUGGAAUCUGAGGAGAUGCUAUCCACAGCACCAAUCUUGCGGGGGUUUGGUGGGAGAGGCAGUGUAGAUCCCUUGGGGGUUCUUGUGAGAGAAGUGCUGUUUGUUUCCCUGGACUCUGGGAGGCCAGUAGUGACGAGAUGUCCAGUGAGGUUUUGGAAUGGUUUGGGGUCUCGCGAUGUUGGGGUUGGGGGAUUAGAUGGGAUGGAAUAAGGGGUCCCUGAGAACUAGAGAGAUAAACUGGUAAAUUUAAGUCUGUCUUUAAUUGUAGAGGGGUCGGAAUAGAAGUAUACUGUGGAAAGUGAAGUUCACAGAGAAACAGCGUGAACCAGGGAAGUUGGUGGCUAAGAGGGUCUCCCCUCACCCCUCUCUCCCAACGUGACGCUCUUCCUUACUGCGCAGGCGCCGUC
This 1912-nucleotide long non-coding RNA is filed under the name Homo sapiens (human). RNAcentral's name for it is "HSALNT0236662". Lineage: Eukaryota; Metazoa; Chordata; Mammalia; Primates; Hominidae. The record is from RNAcentral.